GUCUGUGUGUUUGUCAUUGAGUGUGUGUGACUGUCAGUGUGUAUACACCACUGAGUGUAGCGUGGUGGAACGCAGUACAGGAGCUUCUGUUUCCUGUACCCGGCCAGACUGACCGGAGGUGCUCACUGAGAGAGCACUCCCUGUCAGUCCGGCCAGGUACAGAAAAUUGAAGCUCCUGUAGGGGAUAUCCUCCACUCGGCAACGCUACAAGAGAGGUAGGAGGCACACCAGGAAGGGGAGUGCGACCACUAAGGGGGUGGAGGGUGCACCAAGGGACAGGGAGGGGAGGGGAGAGAAACACCAAGGGACAGGAAAAAGAGGGGAGAGCCUAGAAGAACACUAAGGGACAGGGAAGGGAGGGGACCACUAAUGGACGGGGAGAGGGGCUGGUUAAGAGGCACAUAGGUGAAGAUGUUAUUUGGGGGGGGCGGAAAGAUACAUCUUCGCCUAUGUACCCAAAAAUCCUUGCACCGGCCCUGCUGAUGGGCA
Non-coding RNA from Pelobates cultripes (western spadefoot toad), 489 nucleotides. The record is from the annotation of a GenBank genome assembly. Lineage: Eukaryota; Metazoa; Chordata; Amphibia; Anura; Pelobatidae.